Molecule: ribosomal RNA, 448 nt
Filed under: uncultured bacterium
Lineage: Bacteria
Description: partial 16S ribosomal RNA
Rfam family: Bacterial small subunit ribosomal RNA
Source: RNAcentral
AACGAACGCUGGCGGCGUGCUUAACACAUGCAAGUCGAACGAAGUAGCAAUACUUAGUGGCGCACGGGUGAGUAACACGUGGGAAUCUGCCCUAAGUGGGGGAUAACAGCUGGAAACGGCUGCUAAUACCGCAUAAUCUCGAAAGAGCAAAGAUUUAUCGCUUUAGGAUGAGCCCGCGUCUGAUUAGCUAGUUGGUGAGGUAAUGGCUCACCAAGGCGAAGAGCAGUAGCCGGUCUGAGAGGACGAUCGGCCACCCUGGGACUGAGACACGGCCCAGACUCCUACGGGAGGCAGAAGUGGGGAAUGUUUGACAAUGGGAGCAAGCAUGAUCCAGCGACGCCGCGUGAAUGAUGAAGGCCUUCGGGUUGUAAAGUUCUUUUGGCAGGGAAGAUAGUGACGGUACCUGCAGAAUAAGCACCGGCAAACUCUGUGCCAGCCGCCGCCGUAA